CCUACGGGAGGCAGCAGUGAGGAAUAUUGGUCAAUGGGCGGUAGCCUGAACCAGCCAAGUAGCGUGAAGGAUGAAGGUUCUAUGGAUUGUAAACUUCUUUUCUAAAGGAAUAAAGUGAGGCACGUGUGCCUUUUUGUAUGUACUUUAUGAAUAAGGAUCGGCUAACUCCGUGCCAGCAGCCGCGGUAAUACGUAGGUGGCAAGCGUUGUCCGGAUUUACUGGGUGUAAAGGGCGUGUAGCCGGGCCGGCAAGUCAGAUGUGAAAUCCCAAGGCUCAACCUUGGAACUGCAUUUGAAACUGUUGGU
Molecule: ribosomal RNA, 305 nt
Filed under: uncultured bacterium
Lineage: Bacteria
Description: bacterial SSU rRNA
Rfam family: Bacterial small subunit ribosomal RNA
Source: RNAcentral